This 253-nucleotide ribosomal RNA is filed under the name uncultured bacterium. RNAcentral's name for it is "partial 16S ribosomal RNA". It matches the Rfam family "Bacterial small subunit ribosomal RNA", at positions 524 to 776 of the family's 1533-position model. The record is from RNAcentral.
UACAGAGGUGGCAAGCGUUGUUCGGAAUUACUGGGCGUAAAGGGCGCGUAGGCGGCCAUCUAAGUCAGACGUGAAAUCCCCCGGCUUAACCUGGGAACUGCGUCUGAUACUGGACGGCUUGAGUAUGGGAGAGGGAUGUAGAAUUCCAGGUGUAGCGGUGAAAUGCGUAGAUAUCUGGAGGAACACCAAUUGCGAAGGCAGCUCGCUGGGACGUUACUGACGCUGAGACGCGAAAGCGUGGGGAGCAAACAGG